RNAcentral lists this ribosomal RNA (254 nucleotides) under uncultured bacterium. RNAcentral describes it as "partial 16S ribosomal RNA". It matches the Rfam family "Bacterial small subunit ribosomal RNA", at positions 524 to 776 of the family's 1533-position model. The record is from RNAcentral.
UACAGAGGGCUCAAGCGUUGUUCGGAUUCAUUGGGCGUAAAGGGUGCGUAGGCGGUUGGGUAAGUCGGGUGUGAAAACUCCAGGCUCAACUUGGAGACGCCACCCGAUACUGCUCUGACUUGAGUUCGGUAGGGGAGUGGGGAAUUCCUGGUGUAGCGGUGAAAUGCGCAGAUAUCAGGAGGAACACUGGUGGCGAAGGCGCCACUCUGGGCCGAAACUGACGCUGAGGAGCGAAAGCGUGGGGAGCGAACAGG